This 650-nucleotide long non-coding RNA is filed under the name Homo sapiens (human). RNAcentral describes it as "HSALNT0351457". Lineage: Eukaryota; Metazoa; Chordata; Mammalia; Primates; Hominidae. The record is from RNAcentral.
AAGAUAAAGAAAAAGGAAUCAAAGCAUACCACUACCAAAAAAUCAUCAAGUUACAAAGGAAGACUAUGAGAGGAAGAAAGGAAUAAAGAAACUACAAAACAGGGUCAAAGAUUUCUACCCUGUUGGAAGAAGCCACUGUUGAAGUGUGAAAGGCUACUCUGCUUUCUGCGUCCAUUUAACCUUUGGCCUGCCCUAAAGAGCCAGCCAAGUGUCAAUCAGGGCUGAUUGGGCACCUGUGCCUGGAAACAAGACAGAGAAAUUUAGCUCUUCCAGGUCAUCAAACCAUCUCCAGAUGGCAAAGAACUUCUGAAGUUAUGAACCUAACUUGCUUGUGAUGCAAAUUAGUGACCUAGGGUGAGAUGCUUCAUUAAUGCUUACUCCUGUGAGCCUCCAAGGUGUCAGAAGUUGGACUGCUUACUCUCACAUUUUUUUUUUGCUGUGUAAUGUGCAUUAAAAUAAUUUAUAUUCAUAGAGAUGGUCCAAUAAAUUGCAUAUGGCUAGUUAAUAAGCUGCUAAAGCAGAGAAGAAAAUUAGAUUUCAUUUAGAAGAAAACAAUAUUUGGCUUUCCCCAUGGAAAUAUGUGAAAAAGCUUUAGAAAAUUCUGUUAACAUUGAGGUCUCAGAAGAGACUGUGAUUAAAAAUAAUAAAAA